Molecule: long non-coding RNA, 485 nt
Organism: Gossypium arboreum
Lineage: Eukaryota; Viridiplantae; Streptophyta; Magnoliopsida; Malvales; Malvaceae
Exons: 2
Source: RefSeq, a predicted model, not a curated record
CUCCACGCGCCGUCAUCAACUCCGCCACACAUGACGGUCGGGACCUGAAAAGCUUCGCUUUUCGGGGCGAAACUCAAGGUGAUUCAAGGGCUGCUGGCGUUUAUGGAGGCAUGAAGUCCGGUGGUGAGGAUUCGUGGAGACGGUGGGGUGCUGAUGGGACGUUGACAGACCUUGAGACAGUACCUUGAAUGGUGGCCUCGAUUCGGGAGCUGGACAGACGCUCCCCGAACUUUCCAGAAGCGGUGACGGCUUCCUGCCUUGGUGUAAUGGUUUGGGCCAGUUGGGCCACUUUAGUUUUGUGAUCGGGCUAGGGGUUUUAGGGGCUGAUAGGGUUAUUGGGUUUGGUGUAUGUGUUGGGCUUCGGGUGUAUUUGGGUUAUACGGGUCAGUCCAUUAUGCUUAGACAUUGGGCCCCAACUGUUUGGGCUUUGUAACCUGGACUUUUAAUGGACUGUUUAAUAAAUAAAUAAUUUAUUUAUUUAUCUA